ACAAGCUUUCGGGAGAACCUCCCUUUCUGAAAUGCUUCAGACUUGAGAAAGGGAGGUUCUCCCGAAAGCUUG
Pelobates cultripes (western spadefoot toad) is the source of this 72-nucleotide non-coding RNA. The record is from the annotation of a GenBank genome assembly. Lineage: Eukaryota; Metazoa; Chordata; Amphibia; Anura; Pelobatidae.